CUGGCUUUCACAUGGGCUGUAAUUUAGUUCAAUUCAGAACUGCAGACAGUACAGCUUUCACAGAAGCAAGGGAUGCCUGAGCACAAGUGGCUGAGUUCCGAGUGACUUUGUGAAGCACUUUCCUACCUCCCUCCUUCAGGAAAACGGGGAUUCUGCACCUGCAUCAGGGACAGUCUGGCAAAAGCCUCUGCUGUGCCUCCGGGGACAAGGAACUAGCACAAAUAACCAUUUUGAAAUUGGAUCUUGGCAAAAUUUGUAACGAAACCAUAAAGGAAACUGAAAGUACUGUGAUCUUCCUCUUCAAUGACAGUCCCACAAAAGUUGAAGAAAUAUGUUAUGUCUCCAAAGAAGAGUACAGUCGUGCCCUAAAAUUAGGACAUGAUUAAGAAGCAAAUGUACAAAUGUGGAGACACUUCUGCAUGAAGACCGAGUUCAUAAUGUGCACAUCCAAAGCAUUGACAUUGAUGCCGUAUCCAUGGUUUUCAAAGGGGAGGGUAAUCUGUGAUAACAAAAUUGUAUCCCUUCCUUCCUGCAAUUACCUCACUAUCCUUACAGCCUUGACAUCUGGAAACCCACUGCUACAGUAGCAGCUGUGAUUCCUGUUCGACAGCAGGAAGUUGACUACACAUUCCAAAGCGCCCUAAUUGUUUUGAUAUUUUCUGGCUGUUUAAGGAGCUUGGAUAUUGGAGAACACACUAUUUCGUACCAACCGCAGUUUGGAACCAUACACCAAAGUGUAUCUUGUCACACUCUGAACCACUUACACGUAUGGAAGCUUGUCUUUUUCUUCAUGAUAGAUGACUGUUCAUUGUGGUCAUAGUCCAAAGUUAGCCAUGUUAGACAUUGCACACUUUAUUAGAGAAUUAAACCUGAUUUUGUUCAUAAUUACACUAUUUUCCGUAGUGUAUUUGGUGGUUUUGCCUCUGCCAUAAUUUUCUCAAGUAAUCAGCAUGGAGGAAGGCUUAUCCAAAGACGUGCUCCUAUCUAAAUACUUGGAAGAGAAUUGAUCGAUUUAAGUUAGAAAUGGUAUUAGUUAGUAUUAGAACAGUAUCAGAGUAUUAGAGUCGUAUUGUGAGAAUCAUCAUGCCUUGCAUUUGGCCACAUAGGGCCUCACUUAACAGAGACUUUCGGAUCCUUAUCAAUCUGCUCGAAAUCAAAAGAUCUCCCAAAGUAGUGCAGAAUUACUAGUAUUGGACAAACACAAUUCUGUUUUAUCUUCACUAAAUGCCUGAAACUAUUUCGUGUUUUUGAGCCAGUAAAAUUAUAAUAUUGUUUAUUCAGAAUGCUUUUAUUCCUUAAAAAGAAUCAAAAGAAAUAACUACUGUGCUGUUUUACUGUUAAUUAUCUCUAAAAUGGCUACAAAUCAUAGUUAUCUUCAUUAUAAGAGCAUUAGUGCUUUUUUUACCCAUCAAAUUAAGAAUGAAAUGGAUUUUAGUAACACCCUACAAUUACCUUAUUAAUCAAAAUUAUUACCAGUGAUCUCCUUGAAGCCAAACUGGUUUGUAUGGAACAGGUUGAGGAUUGCUGUCAUUCAGAGCAUAACUCUGCAAAAAUAUAUUGACAUACUAUUUUUAUUUAAUUUACAAAUUUUACUAAGGUUUUCCUCUUUCCUGUAUUACACCCAAAAUAUAACAAUAUCUCCCAUUGUAUAUGUUUAUUUGCCUUAAUCUCCAAUUUAAUUUAAUUUUUCUUCUUGCUUAAUUACUUCCUCUGGAAUUUUAUACUCAUAAGUGAUUAUAUCUCAAUCUCUCUCUCAUAAUUAAAUAGUUUAUUUAAAAUAAUUAUAUAUGUCUUCUAUUCUAGUGACUGUAAUCUCUGAUAUUCCCUUCUGGUUAGAAAUAUUUUUACACUGGAUUUAUAAUAAAUUCCCUGUGAUAUUGAUUCCAUGUAUGCUUAAGUAUUUUUUCCGUUUUAUCCACUGUUCCUGUGAUAACCAGAAGUUAUUGUGCCUUCUCCUAGUGUUUUAAUACUCCAAUGUAUACUGCGUGUUUAAAUAACCAUAAAAGCACUAUUUGCAUAGUUAUUGGUUUGUUUACCUUCACUGCUCCAAAAAGUCUUGCUAGGCAAUCUGCCUGGGGCUGAUACUUAUAACCAUUAGCAAUUAUGGAUUCCAGAAAGUUGUUGACAUGAAUUUUUUUAAAAAACCAUUUCAAAAUCAGAUGCAAAAUAUUCAGUGUAUUCCUAGUGUAGUUUUUUGUUGCCAUUCAUGCUCUUGCCCUUCUUAUUAUCUUAACUAUAAUUCACUUUUAAUCAGCAUGCACUGAGUAAAUAGGAAAUUCUGUAUUAACCUUGGGUUCUUCCUAGACAGUCAUAGACAGAUGCAUUAUUUUAAAAAUUUUAAAGCAGAAUUAUUUUUAUAUGAUGGUGUUUUUACACAUCGCUUAUGUGUUGCAGGGGUUUGGGUAAUAUGCCAGUGAUGUACUUUUCAUUGUCAAGGAAUACAUCUACACAAAAGAGGCGCGGGUGCGCCAUCCAGCAGGUGGGGACUUCUGUCAAGUGACUUAUGUAUUGAGCUCUGGGGGAGAUGCAAAGAAGAAUGCAUAGGACACUGCUCUCAGGGAGGUUACACUCUAGAGUCUGUACUAAUAAUAUGCCACCGAUGGGCAACAACAAAAGCUAGGCAAAGACUUUUUAACAGAAACCUCUCCAUUCGUCCCCACACUGGGAGAGGAAACAAAAGAAGCCUCCGUUUCUACUGAGUACAAACCACUUUCUGAAAUAUUUAGAAGAACAGCAUUAACGAAGAGUUCAGUUACGAGCUUUGGUUGUCACUUUGUUUGCUUGUUGAUGGGUGUUUCACAGAAAAGCCUGGUGAGAUUGCAUCAUCCUUAGAGUGUGAUCUGCACCAGAAAUAGUGCUGAAUAAGCGUUUUCCUUUUUCUUUCAUUUUUUAAAUAACUUAAUUUUCUAAAAAAACUGUCAAUCAUAAAGUUGACUUUCAGAAUUUUGUUAUGUCAUGAUAGAACAAAAUGUAUCAAAAAAGAAAAAAUAAAUACUAUUUGUGCGUAUGAUGUUUCACCUUUAAACUAUUUCCAACCUGACUUCAGUAGUUUAUGAUCAAGAUUUUAGCAGUUUAUUGUCAAGAUAGUAAAAUUUGACAGAAUAGAAAUAUGAUUUUUGGCCUUUAAAUAUACUGCUUCAGUCAUCCUCAAAAUUCCACCCAGACAAGAAACUGGAAAUAGUUCCUAAGCGUGAGAAUAGAGGACAGAAACAAAUGAUAUUUAUAUAAUAUUAAAUUCAGUCUUGGCAAAAAUAUUCUUAACUCGGGAUCUAUUUUUUUAAAUUCUCUCUCAUUUUUUAAAAAUUAAAAGAAUCAAAAUGUAAAUGCUUAAGACCUAAAGUUUACUGGAUUCUGGAAACUAUCACUGGCAUACUGUGGUCUAAAAACAAUAUUUGUUUUUGACAUAAAUUUACAAUGAGCUACCAAGACUAUGUGCAAAUCACAACGAGUGAUUCCCUUUGUCAGGUUUUCCAAAGAACAAGACAUAAUAAAUCUAUUAUGAACAUCUCCCAGAUCAUAUUUCCCCUUAAAAUGUAACAUGCACAUUUAGAAUUUAAAGCUAAAAAAUGUCUUAUAAGCAAAAUAUAUCCUUCCUCUUUAAGAAACGUAUAGAAGAAGAGAAGAAAACAACAAUGCACUUAAUUCCUAAGAUACAAAUGCCAGUAAACUGCACACAUCAAGACUUGGAAUUAGAGUCUAGUCACUUUAAACCCAGAUGUGUGUAUUUUGAGCACAUUUUUUUGAGCACUGCAUAGUCAUAAAGUAACCUAAAAUAACAAUGAAAGAAAACUAAGCUCUGCUGAUAAAAUACACUUUACCUUUUAUGUGGUGUUAACAAAAUGACUUAGAUGGAAAAUGAAAUCUGUCUUAGCUUAAGACAGAAGCACAAAGACAUUUCCCUUCUGGACAACAGACUUUGGCAUUGAAAGAUCAAAGGAACAAUUUUAUCUGCAUUGUGACUACAGACCAAAAAUUUUACAGUAUUCCUGUCUCCAUGCUAGAGCUUAUGUGUCUUUAAUGGCAUUUAAAUUAUAGCCCUUCUUCAGUCAAGCAGUCAAAACACCACGUCAUCUGAUGAGACACCAUAUUAUAAUCUGUCAGUAUGUCUCAUUUAAAAAUUCUCCUAUACUGUACUUGCCCUCAUUUUUCUCUUUUGCUAGAAAAAUGGAGCAAAUUGUUUUUUAAACUGGGUUUAUGAGUUGACCUAAUCAAGCUAGACAAAAGAUAUACUUUGGUUUAUAUUAUUUUAACUUAAUUAAUUUAAACCAAUUUGUAGAUUUUUUUUUCCUUUUUAUUGUGAUAACCCCUCUCCACAUUUUUUGCUUGUUUGUUUUUAGGGUUUUAAUCUUUCUUACAUAUGAAAUGAUGCAUGGUUUAUUAUAGACAGAUAUUAAAUGAAAAUCAAGAACCUGUGUCCAUUAGAGAAUUAUAGCUAAAAUAUUUUGUUCUUAAAGCAAAGUAUCUUAUGUUAAGCUAAUAUACAAUAGAGGGAUUAUUAUAUAUAAAUGGAAGGAGCUGUUCUCUGAAUUGUUGUGUAUCACACAAUAUAGAUGGUGUUUCAAAUGUCACUGGAGAAACAGGUCUUGAAUGUGUUCCUUUAAGGUAAUGUUUAUUGUACUGAUUUAGCAAUCAAAACUUUCUGAAAAUGAGUAUUUAACUUAGAAUGUUCCUGCAGUUAGGAAAAUAAGAUGUUACAUUUUCUACAGAAACUGAGUUUUUUCUCAAAAAUAUAAAAAUUUUAAGAAGUUUAUUAAAAAGAUAUCAGCAAGAAUUUGUAAUCAAUUAUCUUAUACCUUAAUACUAUCAAUAUUAUAUGUAUUUAUAAAUGGUUCUAACAAAUAUUUAAAAAGGCAAAAUUUAUUUUGUCUAGAAACAUGGUAGAUUAGUAACUGAUGGAUAACUUUGUUGCCAUGUUUCAAAAAUAUAACAUGGGAAUUCAUGGAUUUUCAAGUAGAUUUACCUAAGUUUUUAAAAUAAUGUUUUUAAAUCAUAUUAAGAUUGAGAUACAAGAUGCUUCUUGACAAUAAGUGAUUUUAACAUGCCCAUGGGAGGCUUUUUUUUUUUUAAUGAAAAUGACACUACCUUAGAUAAGCUUCAACUGAAAAUAUUUCUAUUAGAUUAUGUCCAUCUGUUUUGGAAAGAGCCAACCAUUACAAGUAAAUUGAUUCUUAAAUUUUCAAACGAUUUUGAACAACUUUUGUCACUGAUGAUUUUGUGUGGAAAAUCACAGAAGAGUACGCUGUGUGCUAUAUAUUGAGUAGGGAUGAUGGGAAUCACCAGACAUACAGUAGCUUUGAGGAGUUAGGUCUUUUUCCCAACCUAGAAAUGCCAGGGAUCCUUCAACAUAUUUUACUUACCUGAGGAACUGCAGAAGAUGUUUACUGAGCUUGGGACAAUUUAAUAUAUCACUUUUUCAUGGAAUCAGGAUUGGAUGUCUCCUCACUUAGCUGACAUUUGAUAAGAAAUCAUGACAAGUAUUUUAUUUUCAGAAUUUGAUGUAGCUAAAUGGGGCCUUAUAGUGCAGUAUUUUGAUUUAAAAUAUGUAUUUUUUUCCUGGGUAGCAAAAAAAAUAGUGAUUUUUAGGGUUGAAAGAAUAGAGUAGAAUAAGAAAUUCUCCAUGUAUGGAAAAUAGUUGAUUUUAUAUCUCCACUCUCUUCUAUCCUAAAACCCAAGAUAUAUCCUAGAAUUAUUUCUGGGAGUCUAUUAUUUGAUAAAUACAAAAAAUUAUAUGCAAUACAAUGAAUACUUAUAAAUCCACUACCAGUUUAAGAACUAGAACAGUACCAAAAGUGUUGCUUCUCCCCUCUUUCCCUUCUGCCCCAGAAGUUACAGUUAUCAAGGCCAUUACAUACAAAGUUGUGCAAAAUGUGUGCUUUACAAACUUACAAGGUGUGUGCUUUCAUAUCCAGCUGGGCCUGGUAUGAAUGAUGCCCUUUGAAGUGUGCAGUGUAACCUACACAGAUUUCACAAUGGCUCUGCCACUUUCAAAAACUUAUCUUUUUAUGUAUGUAUGAUAGUUUUGCUUGUUUAAAGCUUUGCAAAAAUGACAACAUUUCCUAAUAGCCUUACUAGCAUUAGCUUUUUUCAUGAAAUAUUAUGUUGCUAAGGGUCAUGGACAUUGUUGCAUAUAAUUAUAUGUUUGUUUACUUCACCACUAUAUAGUAUUCAAUUGUGCAAAUACCCUCAAUUUAUUUUUCUGUUCUUUGACAUUUGAGUUAUUGUCUGCUUUGUAGUUAAACAUGCUGUUGCUAUAAAUAUCCUUGAGUAUGUCCUUUGGUGCACGUGGGCAAGAAAUAUUCUAAUGGAUGAGAAUAGGAAUUUUGGAUAUCUUAAAGCUUAUGGAUGGAGUAAGGGUAUAUGUGAAAAAUAAAAUUUUAAAGUUCUGAUGAGGGUAUAUAAAGAAUAUUAUGAUACUCGGUUACAUAAGACUUUCUUUAAAAGACCCAAUUGUAAAUACUUGCAACAUUUCUAUGAGUACUGUUUGCGUAUAGACCUCAGUUCCAUUUAUAGGGAACUAUCUGGGUGGUUCUAUAAAAUGCCUGCCUUGCUAAAUCAAUCCAUCAUUCUAGUCCAAACCCAUUAGCUAGAAGAAGAAGCAAACCUAGAAGCCAUUUUGGUUAUCUUAACAUGGAUUAAAUGAAUUUAUUUUAAACUCAGAAAAUAGAGAUUAAAAUGAGAUGAUUCAGCCAAAGCAAAAAUGAUCAGUUUACUCCCCUUUCCACAUCCCGUUCAAAUUAUUUUUGGAAAUACUGAAUGCACACCAAAAGCUGAAGAGUGUGAUUAUGAUUCUAAGGAGGCAGGAAAAUGUACAGACAAUUAUUAGAUAGGGAUUUUUUUUAUCAUGUAAAGUAUAUAUAACCUAAAAUUUAGACCAUUUUUAAGUGUACAGUUCAGUGGCAUCAAAUACAUUCAAAUCAUGUGUAGCCAUCAUCACCAUCCAUCUCUGGAACAUUGUUUCAUCUUCCUAAACUGAAACUCCAUGCCCAUUACACAAUAACUCUGCAUCCCAUCCUUCCCCACUCCAGCCCUGGCAAUCACCAUUCCACCUUCUGUCUCUAUCAACUUGACUACUCUGGGUACCUCAAGUGGAAUCAUGUGGUGUUAGUCCUCUUGUGAUUGGCAUAUUUUACUUAGCAUCUUCAAGGUUCAUCCAUGUCAUAACAAAACUGCCUCAUCUUUUAUGGGUGUAUAAUAUUCCCUCGUAUGUAUACACCACAUUUUGUUAAUUCAUUUAUCUACUGAUGGACAGUUGGUUGCUUCCACCUUUUAGUUAUUGUCAAUAGUGUUGCAAUAAACAUGGGUGUACAAGUAUCUGUUUGAGUCACUGCUUUCCCUUCUCUUUAGGUAUGAAGAUUUUUAAGAACUCCUGUAAGUCAGCCUCCUGAGCAGCUGCUCCCCUAGGUGUCAAAAGAAAACCUAAAAAUACUUUCUUAAGACUGACAGAAGGAAGGAUAGAGACAAUAUACUUUUUAUACUUUUUCUUUUACAAUGUUUUCCUCUUACUUGAAUGAAUUCAUUUUUUUUAGGAAUUACAAUUAGAUACUGAUAUAAUAUCCUAUUUGUUAUUCUCUAACUUAAAUAAUAUAUAAUUGCUUGAGAAUUUUAACUUCAGACGUAAAGUUUUUACUUUAAAGCACACAUUUGAGAAAUGCAAUUUUUCUCAUGCUACUUCCAUUAAUAAUGAGUUAUAUUUGCAUGGAAAACUCGUUGGCAAAAUACUUUCUUCCACUUUAUUAUGUUAGCCAGCACUCAUGAUGUGAUGAUUACUUGAUAGUUGAGUACAUAGGUAGAUAGGUAGAAAGAUAGAUAAUAGAGAGAUAAAUAGAUAGAUGAUAGAGAGAUAGAUAACUAGUCAGUCUGGCUCAACUUUUUUUAUACCCAUUUUACAGAAGGGGAAACUGAGAUUUUGAGAGGUUAAGUGUACAAGGCCCUUCAAUUAGAAAGUGGCAGAAGUCAAAGUUCAAACUUGGUCUUCCUGGUAUCAAAACCCAUUUUAACCAUUAUAGAUUCUGUCUUCCCUUAGCUAUGCCAAUCCUCACCGCAACAUCAUGAAGUUUAUUGGGAAGUUGAGAGCUAUUCAUUUUCUCUUGAGGAAUGGAGUUCUGAGAGAUUAAAUCAUUUGUUUAAGAUUUCAUAGCUGAUAGGUGGUACAGCAAAAACUCGGGUCUUCUUUUCCAUUCUUUAUACUCCCCCUCCACCCCAUAACCUAUGCAGCAAUGACUGCCAUUGGUUUUUGCCGAAGUUAACAUAUUGUAUCCCAAAGUUAAAGUCUGAACUAUCUAAGCAUUGCGUGCUCAUGGAUUGGAAAUACCUUAAAUGUAUAUAUAUAUUAAAAAUAGGCAAAGUAUGUAACUUGCCCUAUGCCAUACUUCUUUUAUCAACAGAAUAAGCAUCAUACUUUAGAUUUGUUGAGUUUAAAAAUAGUUCUCCAUCAUCUGGACCUUAAUCUCAUUACUCUCAGGAAGAAUUACUGUGAGAAAUUUUCUUAAAUAUAAACUUAGAGUGUAUUUGUGCUUUUGUAGUAUUAAAAAUACUUUAAAGCUUUGAUACAAAUCCUGCUAGUCCUGAGCUGAUAUGGCAGGAAUUGUGCAGGUACUUCAAAACUGGAUCCUUCAAAGGGUUCCCACCUUAGCUUGUCUUUAUAGCUAACUGUAGAUCAUGAACACUGUUCAGUAUCUUCCAAAGUGUUAGUUUUUAAUCCACAGAAAAAUUCGAUAAUUAUUGCUAGAACGAUUUGUAACCUAGCUGUCUUUGAAUUUUAGUAAAUACAGAUGUUAUUUGUGCAUUACCACAUGGGGAAGAGCGUAUCUCAUAAAGGUACUUACUUAUUAUUUUUUGGAUUAAUCCAGUUUCAUGUCAAAGAACUGGACUAUAGUUUCCACACACUCAUAUGCAAAUGAAUAAGUAUAAAUAUAAUGAAUUUACCUUUCUUUUUGUAUAGACUAAAAAAUUCACCCUUUAGUCACUUCAUCAAAAUAUCUUUGCCCCUUUUAUUGUAAUGUCUUUUCAAAAAGAAGGGGGAGAAAUGCAUUGUAAAUGUUAAAAUACAGAACUAUAUGAAUGAAGUGCUUUUUAAAAAUCCAGACCCAAACCCUCUUAGGUUUUUAUUAAGAAAACAGAUAUUACAUCCUCUUAUUACAAGUGUGUUUGUUCUCACCUCUCCCACUGCUGGGCUUCAUUUCCACCUAGAGACAGCUGUAUACCACUCCCAGUAGUAAUGCCUAUGCUAUAACAUACCAGGGCUCAGAUGGCCCCUCUCUCCUGGAGAAUGAAUUAUUAGGUAAUCUCUACUUUUAUCCAAUUGAUUUCACUUCCUCCACAUUUCAAUUUCAUUAGCAUAAAACAGAACAGAGCUUAAUGAUUACUUAAAACUAAGAUCAAGGAAAAGAAAAAGUAUUCUGUUGGUAAAAGUAUUCUGAUGGCUGGUAAUAAUAUUAGAAUAUUUUCAGAAGCAAGCAAAGUAGAGUUCAUUAGAGAAAACUAGAAACAUACCUAUGUUUAUACUUUUAAUAGAGACACGACUUUAAACAUGCAAACAUUCGGAAAUACUUUUAUAACACAAUUUCGUUUCCAAAAGAGAAUGGUAAUUUGUCUUCAUUUUUCCCCAUUUAAAUGAGUAAACUUUGUUUUCCUUAUGAUGGAUUAGCUAACUGAAGAGAUUUUUUUUUCCCACACAAAAUAUAGAUAGUUGUUUCCCAGACGUCAACUUUGCAAAAAGCCUGCCAUUGACAGCUGAUGUGGUCAUGUGUGUUUGGAAGAGCUAUGUUCUGAUUCUCAGAAGAUACCCUACCAGAGUCCAUUUGUUUUCAAGUUUGUGAAGUGGCCCUUCUGUAAUGAUACUCUUCCUGUCACUUCCAAAUAUUCCCAUACAAAGGUACACAAAAAGGGAGACGCAGAAUGUUUUUUAAAACUCUGAAUAAUUUGAAGGUAAGACAUAUUCCACAAUAAUACAUGGGGAUAGAUGAGUAAAAGAGGGCAUUAACUAAAACAAAACAAAAUAAAGAAAACAAAAUAAGAUAAAAUAAAAUAUGGACGGUAGUCAAGAAAUCAGAGAAAGGGAAACAAAAUGGGGAAAUAAUGGGGGAGCUCUAUGCUUGUCUCUGCUUCAGAAAUAUGAAGAAUCUAUUGGGAAGGGGAAAAUAAAGUUUUAGAUGAUCUAUUACUUUACUUUUAAAAAAUUCACUACUUAAAACAAGGACAUUUUAAAAAAUAUAUAUACAUGUAUAUUACUAAAAUAUAGUUAUAUGUGAUACACACACACACAUCAAAACCAUCAGUGCAACAAUUCCUUUGUUUCUUAGAAACAACCACUAUGAUACACAUGAAAUUUAUUUUUUGAAUACAGUGUACUGGUAAGCACUGUAGCAAUUUCUAGAAUUUGGCCACUCUUCUUUAUGGUGGUAAUUCAGUUUGUAUGUGUUAACUUGAAUAUUUGGAUUUGAAAUUGCUGGAAUUUUCUAAUAUCAAAAUCCAGAGUAUUUAUGCUCUUUUUUUUUGCAUCUGUGCUAUAUCUAUAUUUUUUUUCCUUUUGACUUAUCUGUUCAGAAAUGGAUUUCUACUAAAUUUUCUUAGGUGCAUUUGACAAGCUAUUGCUGAAAAAUAUUUAUUACUUUUUUAUUGACCUACACUGUAGAUGUACUAAUGUGCUACUGGCCAUGCAAAUUAUAUACAACUGUAGGAGACAAACACAAUCUCCAGUUACAAAUGAAGGGCACACAUGGGUUAUCUAACAUGUGAGUCAUCAAGAAAUGCAAUAGUGUGCAAAGACCGGUGAAUCACACAGUCUGUAAAGCCAGCUUUUUGAGCUUUUCACACAGAUGGCUGCUGCAAAACCUAACAAGGAGUAAGGAGGAGGAGGAGGGAGAGGAAAGAAAGAGAGGGAAAAAUAAGUGGUGGUGGGGGCUCUCUAUAAUCAGUUUUUAUUGUUCCUUAGUUUCUUGACCACUGAACCAAUGACAGAAAGGAAACUUGCAGGUCUUUUUUUCACAAUUACCAUUCUCAUGUACGUAGCGCCGUUUGAAAAUUCUAAGACUGAUCAUAUUCAAUUUAGAAUUGUUCUUUAAGUCUUAUACCCUAUACACUAUAAAGUGCCUUGAGGAGUAAGUUUCUGUGUUGUUUAUCUAAUAUUGUCUUCCACUCUGUGAUAAGCUACACUAGAGCAUGGACCAUAGGCCUCGCAGUUUGCAACGACCUAGUACAGGAAAGAAAGAAGGGAGAAAGGAAGGUCUUCUAAUAUUAUUUUAACAUCUGUGAAAUGUAUUCACUCUUUAAAGCUUUGUCUCUUCUCUGUCCUCCUCGUCUUGAAACAAUUCAUGUCAAAGAAAGCAUCUUAGCACAAAAAACAUUAAUUGCUGAUGUACCACUGACCGUAUGAAAAAUAAACAACAACCCUGGUAAUUCUGUGUAGAAACUGUCCAUACAUUCAGUUACCCAGUGGGUAGGAUCCAAACUCCUUACUGCAGUGCUGAAAACUCUUCAUAUCCUCAGCUUAGAAACCGAGCAUCUUCAGACAUCCCCUUUGCCUCUCCCCUCACCCUGUGUUCCAGUCAUAUCGCUCUUAAUAUUUGUAUACUGUUUCCCUGGCACAUGAAUUGUUAUGCUCUGUUGCCUUCUCUUUAAAACUCUUUCUGCUUGGAAUGCCUUGGUAUGUACAUUUUUCUUCACAGAUAAUUUCUACUCGUCUCUUAGUGGACAAGAAUUUCUCAAAACUUUCCAGAAUAUUUGCAUGGACUUUGUAUUUAGAGAAGAGAAAACAUUAAAACAGAAAAGGGUUUAGGGAUUGUGUAACCCAGCCUUUCCAUUUUGCAGCUAAGGAAACUGAGGCACAGAGAGAGGAUACUGCCCAAAGUCACCCACGAAUGAACCAUAAGGCCAGGACUAAGUACCCAUCCCUUGAUGUUCUGUUCAGUGGUGAUCAAGUCUGCCUUAGAUUCAGACAAUUCUGGAAUUGACCUUGGGUAAUGUGAUAACCUUUCCAACUCUAAACCUAAAAUUGGACAUAAAAAUAGGUAAUCUAAGACAGUUUCUUUCUUUCCUUCCUUGUUUUCCUAGUCUUCCGUGAUUCCCAGUUCCGCCAUUUAAUUUCAGAAAGAACCAGGAUACGGCAGCAGAAGAUAGUGGUUAGCACAUAAACUAUGGGGUUAGAAUUUUUGGUUCAAAUCUUUUAUCUGGGUCCUUUGGGCAGGGCCUUUAACGGCUGUGCCUCAAUUUUCUCAUUUGUAAACUGAGAAUAAUUAACUUGUUGAAUUCAUUCAGACAUGCUUAGUCGGAGCUUUCUGUUCUAGGCUUUGAGGCUUUGGCAGUGAACCACACAAAUAGAAGCUCCAGCGGAGGCUCCAUUCCAGGGGAGAGAUAAUCAACUGAUAAGCUCUACCUGCCCUCUCCUUCCUCCAGCCCACAGUAAGUGCGCUUUCCUCUGCCCAGGAGUUGUCUUCCUGCAGCUGCCUAAAGCACCAGCUUCCUCCCGGCAUUCAGGUUCUUACAAUCACCUUCACUGGGCACCCACUUUAUAUUUCAAUCCCACCCUUGUCCCAGUUCAGUUCCCUUUUCUGCUCCAUUUCUAAAAAUAAUGACUCCUUAUUACUGUCUAACGCAUCAUAUGUUUUUAUUCAUUUGUCUAGUUUACGUUGCAUCUUCCUUACUCAAAUGUAAACCCAUGAGGGCAGGGAUGUUUGUCUGUUUUGUUCUCUGCUGUAUCUGAAGAACCUCGGCCCACAUCAGUAUGGGCCUAGUGCGGGCCUGGUAUCCAUCAGGUACUCAAUUUCUACUUAUUAAGUGACUGAAUUAAUAUCUAGUGUCAUGUGUAAUGGUGAUAUUUGCAAUUAAGCAAAAUAAAACAGAAGUAAGUGUGUAAAGAGAAACAUCUGGGUGCUAUUUUAGAUAAAGUGGUGAGGGCAGGCCUUACUAAGAGCUUGACCUUUGACUAGAGACAUGAAUGAAGUGAGAAAAAUAAGCCAUGGGGAUAACUGACAGUUGAACAUUCUAGAUAGCAGGAGCAGCCUGUGCAAAGGUCCUGAGACUAAUUCAUAUUUGACAUGCUCUAUUCAUGGCAAGGAGACACAAGUGACUAGAGCAGAGUGAGUGAGAAGAGAGGUAAGAGACAAAGUGAGAGAAACCACUCAGACCACUCAUGUAACCCAUGGUGAGGACUGCGGAUUUGAUAAUAAGAGAGCCAACCAAAUUGAGGUGUAGAGAGAUGUUGAAAGAGUUGAAGCCAAGUAUCUGGCCUACACACAUAUUCGAUACAAGUUAGUUACUGUAUACCAGGGAUUGAGUCGUGGUUGUAAACUAUAAAUGAAGGCAAUGAGAAGAACAAAUAAUUUCCUUCCCAAUCUCUACCCUUUAUGACAACAACAACAAAAUGCACAGAAGGCAACUUAGGAUAGAAAGAGACAUGUGGAAAGUUUUAUUGAAAAAAAAUAUAUAUAUAUAUGAAGACUUGGUAUAUAUAUAUAUAUAUAAGAUGGAUUAUAGUCUUAUUUUUAAAAAGGCAUAUCACAUGUAGCAGUCACACUCAUAGAACCUGAAACAUUCUAGUCUUAGUCUGUGUUAUGGAUUUUUCUGCACUUAUUUUUACUCUUACAAUAUACAGCUGUAUUUUAUCAAAUAAUCAGUUAAUGAAAUGACAAUAGUUUCCUGUCGCAGAAUUUGUGUAUUCCAAACUACUGUUUGAUCUCACAAACACACCAAAACACUACCAGCCAGACCAUCUCACCUCUUUAAAAUAUCCCCCCCUUGGAGGAAAUGAGUCUUUACUAUUGAUAACGUCAAUCCAAAUUCUGUAUAUGUUUAUAUUUAUCCUAAAGCAAGAAAGUACAUGGUAACAUUAAAGAUUGGGCUUUACUAUAUACCUCAUUGAUCAAGAUUUGGUAUUAUUUAUUUUCUACCUUCAGCACAGUUUCUGGAAUUUUCAAUAAAUAUGAUGGCAUUUCUGAAGAGAAAAAUUCCAAAUCACCUAGUAAUUAAUUCAUUGUCAAGGUGGCAAUAAUAGAGUCAGUGUAACACCGAAGCAUGUUCGUUCAACCUCACCAGAGAAAGAGGUAACUGCUUUCUUAAAAGACUCAAAAUAGGAGUCUUUGAGGGUUUUUUAAAAUUAGGGGCCAUGCUUAUACUUCAUUAUUUAGUCCAAUUCUUGUGUAAUAGUGAGCAUCUAAUCCAUUUAGCAGCUUUUAUUUGUCAAGCUAAAAAAGCAUAUGCUAUAUUUAGUUCCAACAAGAAUUGUAGAAAUCAGUUGAAAAAAUUCGCAUAGAGUUGGUAGAACAUGUAGGCUUUUAAUUAUUUUACUUGUCCAAAGGGCACGGCAAUUGGGCAGACUGCCUGCUAUACAUUAUAAAUUAAUUCCAUUUGUCCUGAAAACUUGUUCAUUAUUUCAGUACUUUGAAUUUUGGCUGCCCUAAUUAAUCUCUGUUUUAUAAUUCAGGCACUGAACCUCUGCAAAGGCUGCAUUUUUCCAGCCUGUAAUCGCACUCUCGACAGACAGCCAAAUGCUGGGGACAAUGGCUCCUUCACCCUCUCAACUAUACCUCGGCUUCUGCGGAGACAGACUUUCUGUCUCUGAUUUAUGUGCUGAGUCUUCCUGGAGAGAAAUGCCUGGGUGGGGAAAUGCACAGCCCUAAGGUAGAUUACUUGCCUCAGUCUUUGGCCCUAUCACCCGACUGUUGUCACUUGAGUACUGGUAGAGAGCCAAGAGGCACCUUGGAAUAUUCACUAGAAGUUACAAACCCACCCCACAGUCAGCCUUUGCAGGUUACAUCUGCUUUCAUUUAAAUCCAUGCACUGUGAAGCGUGUUGUACUCAAGGGUCUUGAUGCUGCACUUCCUCACCAUGGCAGAGGGGCCUGGAGCAAAGAGACACGGGUAGGCGCACCUGCCAGCUCAGGCCUUGGCAGCAUAAAGGGUCAGCAGUUACCAUCUCACACGUCACUCUCAGAGUUCUCUUGCUACAUGACCACUCUUUUUAAAUGAAUGGAAAACUAUUUUUAACUUCAGUUAUUGUUCAUUUAGAAUGGAAAAAAAAAUGUGCUUCAUCUGACCUUUACUGAUUAUUUUCCUUUUGCUUCAUAUAAUGAUGCAGAGAGAGUCCUUACAAUGAAUUCUGUGUUUGAACAAACAAACAAACAAACCCCAAUUUACUUGUCACCUAGUUCUUCAUUUAUUUCUGGAAAAUCUACUCCCUAAAUCUUAUCAAGGAAUCAUAGACGAAAGCUAGCACAUUGUUUUGCUUAUUGAUUCUUCUGGUAAUUGUAGAGGUAAGAAUGGGGCCCUGACUGUGUCACGGUUAAGGACAGGGGUCCAGGAUGGCUCCUGAUGCCUGACUUUAUAGAAGAUUGCGGACCUCUGAAAUGAGCUUUGUUCCUGCUCAGGCAAGGCUUCAGAAGAUUUGUUUUUUUUUUUUUUUCCCAUUUGUAUGGACUUCCCACUUAGAACUUUCUAUUUUUCUAUAUCUUUAGAAGAGUUUUAUAUUUUAAGAAUCCAAUUAUUUAUAUUUUGGUGUAUUUAGAUUGGGCUGGGGGUAAAAGGCAAGAGACAAACCCAUAAAUAGCAAAAUUCAAGCUAGUGUAAUAAUUCAUCCAUAACCUGAAUAUCUGUGUUAAUAAUACGUGUUGGUAAAUGUCUCUCACAAUGUAUUUUUAAAUAAUUUCUCAUAUAGUUCAAGUAGAAUGUGACCUUUAUAAUUUUUUUUGGAAAAUCAAUUCAAUAAUGGGAAAAUACACUGAGAAAAUUCUAUUUUAAGGUCCAAUGGAUACUUCUUCAGGUAAUGUAUUCUUUCAUUUACAAGUUAUGCUUUACCCUUCUUCAUUUCAAAUAUUGAAAAAUAAGGAGGCUAUUGAAGAAGAAGAAGAAGAAAAAGAA
Ailuropoda melanoleuca (giant panda) is the source of this 15851-nucleotide long non-coding RNA. RefSeq lists it as uncharacterized. The record is from RefSeq and is a predicted model, not a curated record. NCBI's taxonomy places the organism in Eukaryota, Metazoa, Chordata, Mammalia, Carnivora, Ursidae. The transcript has 3 exons.